Molecule: ribosomal RNA, 511 nt
Filed under: uncultured bacterium
Lineage: Bacteria
Description: bacterial SSU rRNA
Rfam family: Bacterial small subunit ribosomal RNA
Source: RNAcentral
UCCUACGGGAGGCAGCAGUGGGGAAUCUUGGACAAUGGGCGCAAGCCUGAUCCAGCCAUGCCGCGUGAGUGAUGAAGGCCCUAGGGUCGUAAAGCUCUUUCGCCUGUGAUGAUAAUGACAGUAGCAGGUAAAGAAACCCCGGCUAACUCCGUGCCAGCAGCCGCGGUAAUACGGAGGGGGUUAGCGUUGUUCGGAAUUACUGGGCGUAAAGCGCGCGUAGGCGGACUAUUAAGUCAGAGGUGAAAUCCCGGGGCUCAACCCCGGAACUGCCUUUGAUACUGGUAGUCUAGAGUUCGAGAGAGGUGAGUGGAAUUCCGAGUGUAGAGGUGAAAUUCGUAGAUAUUCGGAGGAACACCAGUGGCGAAGGCGGCUCACUGGCUCGAUACUGACGCUGAGGUGCGAAAGUGUGGGGAGCAAACAGGAUUAGAUACCCUGGUAGUCCACACCGUAAACGAUGAAUGCCAGUCGUCGGAUAGCAUGCUAUUCGGUGACACACCUAACGGAUUAAGCA